Molecule: non-coding RNA, 72 nt
Organism: Dallia pectoralis (Alaska blackfish)
Lineage: Eukaryota; Metazoa; Chordata; Actinopteri; Esociformes; Umbridae
Source: the annotation of a GenBank genome assembly
CAGUUGGUAGCUCAGUGGUAGAGUGCGUGCACUAUGUGUAUGACGUCCUGGUUUCAAAUCCCAGCCUGCUCC